CCGUAGCCCAAGAGAUCGGGAUAACACCUGGAAACAGAUGCUAAUACCGGAUAACAACAGAUGAUGCCUAUCAACUGUUUAAAAGAUGGUUCUGCUAUCACUCUUGGAUGGACCUGCGGUGCAUUAGCUAGUUGGUAGGGUAACGGCCUACCAAGGCGAUGAUGCAUAGCCGAGUUGAGAGACUGAUCGGCCGCAUUGGGACUGAGACACGGCCCAAACUCCUACGGGAGGCAGCAGCC
This 239-nucleotide ribosomal RNA is filed under the name uncultured Lactobacillus sp. RNAcentral describes it as "partial 16S ribosomal RNA". It matches the Rfam family "Bacterial small subunit ribosomal RNA", at positions 125 to 355 of the family's 1533-position model. The record is from RNAcentral. Lineage: Bacteria; Bacillati; Bacillota; Bacilli; Lactobacillales; Lactobacillaceae.